Molecule: long non-coding RNA, 1092 nt
Filed under: Anas platyrhynchos platyrhynchos (common mallard)
Lineage: Eukaryota; Metazoa; Chordata; Aves; Anseriformes; Anatidae
Description: lncRNA (ENSAPLG00000024637.1)
Source: RNAcentral
CCGCCAGACCCUCACCUUCACCACCAACCGCCUGAAGGAGUUCCUGGUGGAGCACCAGCGGCGCCGCGGCGAGGCCGUCACCAAGCACAAGGUCUUACUCCGCUCCUACCAGGGCGGCCAGCCGCCGGGGCCGCAGUAGCCGCGAGGGGCGAGGAGCCAGAGGAACAUUCCAGGGGCCGCGGGACGGGGCGGCCGAGGAGCCGGGAGGAGCCCACGGACCCCACGUGCCGGGGACGCUGGCGGGGCAGGACGGGGAAUGGGACGGGGACAGGCGGCGACUCUUUAGGUGGAGACGAUGGAGAGGGAAAAUGGAGCCCCAGCGGGGGCCGGGCAGCGAUGCCGGGAUGGAUGGAUGGAUGGACGGGAUGCGGAUGAGGAGCUCGGAGAGCCGCCAGCACGCCGGCCAGCCUGGGCCAUGCAGUCGGUGGGGUCUGACCCCACAACACGGGUCCUGCCGCAGCUCAGCCGCGUGCCUUACACCACAACCCGCGGCUCCCACCGGCCACAAGCACAGGGGGCGAGGGGCACAAGCCCCCCUGCACAGACUGAGGGUGCCCGGCAGUGCCCAAGGAGGGGGGCUGUGCGGAGAGGGGCCAGCCACCAGCACGGCCCUGUGGGGCUGCAGCCCGGGACCCACGCCGGUGCCUUCCCUGGGGCUGCGUGCCACCCCCGGCAGCCCCGUGCCACGCACACUCCUGCGCCUGCUCAGGCCCACGCUGCUCGUGCUCCCUGGGGGCACCCCGAGCGGGUGGAGAUGCUCACCCACGCGCCUGCUCCUGCAAAGCCCCCCCGGCACCCCCUGCAGCACCUCCCGCCCCGCAGUGCGCUCACGCACGGCCCCACACGUGCCUUGCUGAGCCACACACCCCCUUGCACACGCGUGCCCUUGCACAUGCACACGCGCCACCCGCACCGGGGCCGUGCGGGGUGCUCCGUGCUCCGCGCCCCUCCCUGCCCGGCCCCCCUUCGCCUCCCCUGGGUGCCCCGCUGCGGGUCGGGGGCAGCGUUUGGGCACCGCCUUCCAGCUGCUGCUGUAGCGCUCGGGCUUUAUUUAUUGACCUGGGGGAGAAGGCUGCUGCCCCGGCUCUGCCC